Molecule: transfer RNA, 22 nt
Filed under: Dendrobates leucomelas (yellow-headed poison frog)
Lineage: Eukaryota; Metazoa; Chordata; Amphibia; Anura; Dendrobatidae
Description: partial tRNA-Phe
Source: RNAcentral
CUAACAUAGGCCCUUAAACACA